CUGCAAGUCGAGGGGCAGUUCCGACUUCGGUUGGAAGCGACCGGCGAAUGGGUGAGUAACGCGUUUGUAACCUACCCCUGACAGGGGGAUAGCUCCCGGAAACGGGAAUUAAUACCCCAUAAUAUUCAUUCGGGGCAUCCUGUUUGAAUUAAAGCUCCGGCGGUCAGGGAUGGGCAUGCGUGGCAUUAGCUUGUUGGUGAGGUAACGGCUCACCAAGGCUUCGAUGUCUAGGGGGUCUGAGAGGAUGAUCCCCCACACUGGUACUGAGACACGGACCAGACUCCUACGGGAGGCAGCAGUGAGGAAUAUUGGGCAAUGGACGAAAGUCUGACCCAGCCAUGCCGCGUGCAGGAUGAAGGCCCUAUGGGUUGUAAACUGCUUUUAUACAGGAAGAAACCCCCGGAUGUAUUCGGGG
This 415-nucleotide ribosomal RNA is filed under the name uncultured bacterium. RNAcentral's name for it is "bacterial SSU rRNA". It matches the Rfam family "Bacterial small subunit ribosomal RNA", at positions 55 to 468 of the family's 1533-position model. The record is from RNAcentral.